AGGGUUUGAUCAUGGCUCAGGAUGAACGCUGGCGGCGUGCUUAACACAUGCAAGUCGAACGAACCUUCGGGUUAGUGGCGGACGGGUGAGUAACGCGUGAGAAUCUGCCCUCAGGAGGGGGAUAACGGUUGGAAACGACCGCUAAUACCCCAUAUGCCUAUUGGUGAAAUGAAUUUCGCCUGAGGAUGAGCUCGCGUCUGAUUAGCUAGUUGGUGAGGUAAUGGCUCACCAAGGCUUCGAUCAGUAGCUGGUCUGAGAGGAUGAUCAGCCACACUGGGACUGAGACGCGGCCCAGACUCCUACGGGGGGCAGCAGUGGGGAAUUUUCCGCAAUGGGCGAAAGCCUGACGGAGCAACGCCGCGUGAGGGACGAAGGCCUCUGGGCUGUAAACCUCUUUUCUCAAGGAAGAAGAUAUGACGGUACUUGAGGAAUAAGCCACGGCUAAUUCCGUGCCAGCCGCCGCGGUAAUAC
This 471-nucleotide ribosomal RNA is filed under the name uncultured bacterium. Its description in RNAcentral is "bacterial SSU rRNA". It matches the Rfam family "Bacterial small subunit ribosomal RNA", at positions 8 to 526 of the family's 1533-position model. The record is from RNAcentral.